AGAGAGAGAGAGAGAGAUAAAACCUUGACCCGACAGUCGAUCCGGCACCCGUCUCAUAUGGUGCUUCAACUUCUGAAAGUAGUCAGCAAAGUUCCGCACCAAGGAAGGACUUGUGCCGUUUUGUAAAACUCGGUUGGGCUCAUUGACACAGACACAGACAGUCUUGCUAAAAACUCUCAUUGACAUCUAAAAAUGGCGAAUGAGCAGCCGUCGUCGCGUCCAUGGCUACUCGAAUUAGUUCCCUUCAUAGUGGUUCUCCUUAUAGCUGCUCAUGUUUUCGCUUUGGUCUAUUGGAUAUACAGAUUAGCUACUGAGAAACAACCCCAGAGGAGAAAAGCACACUGAUGAGGAUGAACAAUAUGAUUUGUAGAACAUUGGUAAGUUUGCUGUAUAUUCCAGAAUGCUGGAUUGAUGUUGUGAUUGAUCUUACUUUACCCUUGUCCCCGUGGUGGUAUAGACUUGUAUUGGCUUCUCAGUUGUUUUUAGAGUCAGGGAAUUGUGUCAUAUCUGCACCAUAUUCCAAUGUUGUAAAGCAUUAAUGUUUGUAUAAUUGCAGUUGAACUAAAGAAAGAUAUUGGAAACGAUAUGUAUACAAGCUCUGCAUAAUAUAUAGAUUAUUUCUGAUA
Molecule: long non-coding RNA, 626 nt
Organism: Ziziphus jujuba (common jujube)
Lineage: Eukaryota; Viridiplantae; Streptophyta; Magnoliopsida; Rosales; Rhamnaceae
Exons: 3
Source: RefSeq, a predicted model, not a curated record